GUGGGGAAUAUUGGGCAAUGGGCGAAAGCCUGACCCAGCAACGCCGCGUGAAGGAAGAAGGUCUUCGGAUCGUAAACUUCUAUCCUUGGUGAAGAUAAUGACGGUAGCCGAGAAGGAAGCCCCGGCUAACUACGUGCCAGCAGCCGCGGUAAUACGUAGGGGGCAAGCGUUGUCCGGAAUGAUUGGGCGUAAAGGGCGCGUAGGCGGCCUGGUAAGUCUGGAGUGAAAGUCCUGCUUUUAAGGUGGGAAUUGCAUUGGAUACGGGCGGGCUUGAGUGCAGGAGAGGUAAGUGGAAUUCCCGGUGUAGCGGUGAAAUGCGUAGAGAUCGGGAGGAACACCAGUGGCGAAGGCGACUCACUGGCCCAAUACUGACGCUGAGGCGCGAAAGCGUGGGGAGCAAACAGGAUUAGAUACCCCUGUAGUCC
Molecule: ribosomal RNA, 425 nt
Filed under: uncultured bacterium
Lineage: Bacteria
Description: partial 16S ribosomal RNA
Rfam family: Bacterial small subunit ribosomal RNA
Source: RNAcentral